UUGGGAAGGUGGGCACACAGAGCCUCAUAUAUCCCAAACUCACCUCAGACUCUGGCUGAGGAUGACCUUAAACUCCUGAUUCUCCUGCCCCACCUCCCAAGUGCUAGGAUGUUUUGGUGUAGGCUUGCUUUCUAAGGUUCCAGAGUGAAUGAAUUCUUUACCUCCUUUCUUACCUAUGUGACUCAGUAAAGCACCAAAUAAUUCAAGAAUAGAAAUAACAUUAUUGCCUGAUAGAGAAACUAGAGGGAAGUGAGACAUUACCAUUCACAGUACUUCAGAGCUGGAAAAUGCUUCCUCCAACAACAUCUUUAGAAUCAAAGAUAAUUCCAUAGGAUUCUGAUUGAAUGGAAGUUUUGGCAAGAGUGUGAUGUUGUGGGUGAAUUCUGAUGGAAAAGUUCCCUUUAGCACUGGUGUAAUGAGUCUUGGGAUCCAUUUGUGACAGCGCUGAUGUGCUUUUGUUCUGUUGUUUGAAUCUUUUUGUAAUGAGAUUGCAAGUCACCAGGACUGGCCCUACACUCCUGAGGUGUCUGAGGCUGUCCUUGAAUCCCAGUCUUUCUGUCUCCACCCCCUAAAUGCUCGGAUGAAAGGACCACACUGCCCUCCUGGCUUUGCAUUACUUGUUUAGAAAGGAAUACAGAGAGAAAGUUUGGUUUAAAGACAAGAUUGACUUCUGAAUUUGGGUGAGAAUUACUGUAAUCGCUGCCAGUUCUCCCCUUCACAAUGAAGAUGAGAAACCUCAGGGCCAAGACAUGGCUCAGAGGGUAAUAGCACCUGCUGCUCUUGCAAAGGACUGGAGGUGUGUUCCCAGGACCUACAUCAGGGCUCACAAACCCUGUCACUGCAGCCCCAGGGGAUUCAACUCUGUUUUCUGGCCUCCUUGGGCACUCUCCACUAAUACGUGCACAUAUCAUUUAAAAUU
Molecule: RNA transcript, 919 nt
Organism: Mus musculus (house mouse)
Lineage: Eukaryota; Metazoa; Chordata; Mammalia; Rodentia; Muridae
Gene name: predicted gene, 53176
Exons: 1
Source: RefSeq, marked validated